This is a non-coding RNA of Thoreauomyces humboldtii, 90 nucleotides long. Lineage: Eukaryota; Fungi; Chytridiomycota; Chytridiomycetes; Spizellomycetales; Powellomycetaceae. The record is from the annotation of a GenBank genome assembly.
ACCCGCCUAGCACAAUGGUAGUGCACUCGACUUCUAAAUUCCUGUAUAGUCGAUAUCGAGAGGCUGCGGGUUCGAGUCCCGCGGUGGGUG